Dermochelys coriacea (leatherback sea turtle) is the source of this 248-nucleotide long non-coding RNA. RefSeq lists it as uncharacterized. The transcript is spliced from 2 exons. NCBI's taxonomy places the organism in Eukaryota, Metazoa, Chordata, Testudines, Dermochelyidae. The record is from RefSeq and is a predicted model, not a curated record.
AGAGUCACCUACACUGAAGACCUGAGCAGUAGUAACAAAUUUAUCGUCACUUCCCCCAUGUAAGAAGCCUUGGGGCUGAGCUGUAUAAACAUGAUAGAAGCAUUUCUUGUUCGAAGAUCUGACAGCCCAACUCCUGAUCGCUUAAAGUACUGGGGGGUAUCUGCUCUUCAGCACAUGUGACCUCGUUUCACUUCCGGCUAUAACGAACAAGGAUGAUCUAUGGUAGCUUUGUGCUAAGCCACACUUUA